Molecule: ribosomal RNA, 539 nt
Filed under: uncultured bacterium
Lineage: Bacteria
Description: bacterial SSU rRNA
Rfam family: Bacterial small subunit ribosomal RNA
Source: RNAcentral
GAGGAAUAUUGGUCAAUGGACGGAAGUCUGAACCAACCAAGUAGCGUGCAGGAAGACGGCCCUAUGGGUUGUAAACUGCUUUUGUAUGGGGAUAAAGUCAAUCACGUGUGAUUGUUUGCAGGUACCAUACGAAUAAGGACCGGCUAAUUCCGUGCCAGCAGCCGCGGUAAUACGGAAGGUUCGGGCGUUAUCCGGAUUUAUUGGGUUUAAAGGGAGCGUAGGCCGGAGAUUAAGUGUGUUGUGAAAUGUAGACGCUCAACGUCUGACUUGCAGCGCAUACUGGUUUCCUUGAGUACGCACAACGUUGGCGGAAUUCGUCGUGUAGCGGUGAAAUGCUUAGAUAUGACGAAGAACUCCGAUUGCGAAGGCAGCUGACGGGAGCGCAACUGACGCUUAAGCUCGAAGGUGCGGGUAUCGAACAGGAUUAGAUACCCUGGUAGUCCGCACAGUAAACGAUGGAUGCCCGCUGUUGGUACCUGGUAUCAGCGGCUAAGCGAAAGCGUUAAGCAUCCCACCUGGGGAGUACGCCGGCAACGGUG